GACUGAACUACUUUCUUUUCUAAGAAAAUGAAUACACAGAAUAAAAGGAUUCAAGUACUAAUGGACAUCGUGGAGCAAAAGAUGAUGUUACCAUGAGACUGUAAGAUUUGAUAUCCUGCUCAGAAGAAACCAUAAAAGAUUAUGACAACACUGUAACUACCAUGAAAAGAAAACUGGCAGAAAAGAACUCUUAAGGAAGUGAUUGAAAGCAGCCAGUUCAGGGAUUGUGAGGAGACUGUAUUGGAAGUGGGAAGAAAGUGUUGCUCUGAAAGUAAGCCUAUUGUGGAAAAAAAGGCAUCUGCAAAGAAAGGAUGUAUGAAGAGUUGGGAAGAUGACUCUCUAGAUCAAAAGAGAACUGAAUAUCUGAAAGCAAAUAAUACUGAGAACUAUGCAGAAAUACUAGCACUGAAGGAAAGAACUGAAACCUUGGAAGGUCAGCUAGCUGCACUUGAAGAGCAGUGAAGAAGAAUAAAAAACAGAAAAGAAGAGCUAGUGGGAAAAUAAAAAACUUGAAUCUCAAGGUCUCUGGUUCUGAAGAAAGGGCUUCUGGCUUAGGUGAAGAACUUCAACAGUGUUGAGCUGACUAUCAGGAGAUUGUUUCUGAAUUGGACAAACAGAAAACUAUCAAUACGGAACAAGAAGAGAAGAUUAUUCAACUAAAUAACGAGGUAGAAGGUGCUAAACAACAUAUAAUUUAUAAAGUGUCACUAAUUAAAAGAAUGCAGUCCAAAGUAGGUGAGUUGUAUAAAUGUCACUUAGAGUCUUACGUUGUGGAUAUUGAUUCUGUUAAUCUAAAGGAUUCCUUAGACUCUCAGAAAGAUGAACUGGAGAGAGGUCAAAUGAGUCCUGUGUGCAUGGAGUACCAAACGGCUUCUACAGCAGAUCUGGGACAGGAGAGCUCCUUCCGUUGCAGUGUUGAAAGCACUUGGAAGGAAUGCAAAAAC
This is a long non-coding RNA of Athene cunicularia (burrowing owl), 944 nucleotides long. RefSeq lists it as uncharacterized. The record is from RefSeq and is a predicted model, not a curated record. NCBI's taxonomy places the organism in Eukaryota, Metazoa, Chordata, Aves, Strigiformes, Strigidae. The transcript has 3 exons.